UAUGGCCACAUCACAUAGGAAAACCAGUUCCCCUAUGGUUGCCAAAGUUAAGCAACGUCAAACCUGAUCAGUACCUAGAUGGGUGACCUCUUGGGAAUAGUUGGUGCUGUAAG
Non-coding RNA from Acanthosepion pharaonis, 113 nucleotides. The record is from the annotation of a GenBank genome assembly. Lineage: Eukaryota; Metazoa; Mollusca; Cephalopoda; Sepiida; Sepiidae.